CACCUAACAGCUAGCCCCCACCCUAAACACAAAAAACAACUAUCAAUACCCCCUAAGACACUCCUUACCAACGAAACAAACCAUUUUUCCCCCCAAGUACGGGCGACAGAAAAGGGCCCCAGAGCUAUAGACAAAGUACCGCAAGGGAACGCUGAAAAAGAAAUGAAACAACCCAGCAAAGUAAGAAAAAGCAGAGAUUAAACCUCGUACCUUUUGCAUCAUGAUUUAGCUAGAAAACUUUAGGCAAAGAGCACUAUAGUCUAACUCCCCGAAACUGGACGAGCUACUCCAAGACAGCCUUUAUAGGGCACACCCGUCUCUGUGGCAAAAGAGUGGGAAGAGCUUCGAGUAGAGGUGACAAACCUACCGAGUCCAGUUAUAGCUGGUUGCCCGAGAACUGAGUCUGAGCUCAGCUUUUCGACUUCUUAACUCACCUUUUAAAAACCAAACCGACCCUGAGAAGUCUAAAAAGUUAAUCAAAGGGGGAACAGCCCCUUUGAUUAAAGAAACAACUUUUUCAGGAGAAUAAGGAUCAUAAUAACUAAGGCCACAUGUUCAGGUGGGCCUAAAAGCAGCCACCCUACCGAAAGCGUUAAAGCUCAAACAUACCUACGCCAUCAAUACCGAUACUACAUCCUAACCCCUGUUAUAUACCGGGCCUUUCUAUGCCCCCAUAGAAGAGACCAUGCUAAUAUGAGUAAUAAGGGGCCCAACGACCCCCUCCAAGCACAAGUGUACAUCGGAACGAACCCCCGCCGAAAUACAACGGACCCAACCAAAGAGGGUAAUGAAUACCAAACAAAACAACCAGAAGAACACUCACUGCCCCACCGUUAACCCCACACUGGUGUGCCCAAUCGGAAAGACUUAAAGAAAAAGAAGGAACUCGGCAAACUCCCAAGCCUCGCCUGUUUACCAAAAACAUCGCUUCUUGCAAAAACAACGAAUAAGAAGCCUCGCCUGCCCUGUGACUAUAUGUUUAACGGCCGCGGUAUUUUGACCGUGCGAAGGUAGCGCAAUCACUUGUCUCUUAAAUGGGGACCCGUAUGAAUGGCACAACGAGGGCUUAACUGUCUCCUUUCUCAAGUCAAUGAAAUUGACCUCCCCGUGCAGAGGCGGGCAUAAAGACAUAAGACGAGAAGACCCUAUGGAGCUUCAGACAUAAAACAGCUCAUGUCAAUCACCUUAAAACAAAAAAACAAACUAAAUAAGCCCUGUUCAAAUGUCUUUGGUUGGGGCGACCGCGGGGUAACAAGCAACCCCCAUGUAGAAUAAAAACACCCUUUUUUAAACCAAGAAUAACCACUCUAAUAAACAGAACCUCUGACUAACCAUGAUCCGGCUCAACCGAUCAACGAACCGAGUUACCCUAGGGAUAACAGCGCAAUCCUCUUUUAGAGUCCAUAUCGACAAGAGGGUUUACGACCUCGAUGUUGGAUCAGGACAUCCUAAUGGUGCAGCCGCUAUUAAGGGUUCGUUUGUUCAACGAUUAAAGUCCUACGUGAUCUGAGUUCAGACCGGAGCAAUCCAGGUCAGUUUCUAUCUAUGAAGUGCCCUUUCCUAGUACGAAAGGACCGGAAAGAAGAGGCCCCUGCUAAAAACAUGCCCCUCUCUCACCUAUUGAACCAAACUAAAACAGAUAAGAGAGCACACAAAGCAGUCAAAGAACAUGACACACCAC
Molecule: ribosomal RNA, 1681 nt
Filed under: Chelonodontops patoca (milkspotted puffer)
Lineage: Eukaryota; Metazoa; Chordata; Actinopteri; Tetraodontiformes; Tetraodontidae
Description: 16S rRNA
Rfam family: Bacterial large subunit ribosomal RNA (bases 97-1562)
Source: RNAcentral